This 355-nucleotide ribosomal RNA is filed under the name Chlorodiella barbata. Its description in RNAcentral is "partial 12S ribosomal RNA". Lineage: Eukaryota; Metazoa; Arthropoda; Malacostraca; Decapoda; Xanthidae. The record is from RNAcentral.
UAUUAUACUAAUAAAUAUAUGUAAAUCUAAAUUAUUAAUAGCUAUAUACUUUAAAUUUGAAGAAUUUGGCGGUAGUUUAGUCUUGUUAGAGGAACCUGUUUUUAAAUCGAUACACCACGUAAAAUCUUACUUAUUUUAUUUAGUUUGUAUACCGUCAUUAUCAGAUAAUCUUGAAAAAGAGAAUUGUUGUACUUUAAAUACAAGAUAAAUUAGAUCAAGGUGCAGCUAAUAAAUAAGUUAAAAUGGGUUACAAUAAAAUUUAUUUAUAUGGAAUAAUUACUGAAAUAAGAUUAUAAAGGUGGAUUUAAUUGUAAUUAAGGUUUAAUAAGCUAAAGAGAUAUAAGCUCUAAAUUAU